This 250-nucleotide ribosomal RNA is filed under the name uncultured bacterium. Its description in RNAcentral is "partial 16S ribosomal RNA". It matches the Rfam family "Bacterial small subunit ribosomal RNA", at positions 524 to 773 of the family's 1533-position model. The record is from RNAcentral.
UACGGAGGGUGCGAGCGUUAAUCGGAAUUACUGGGCGUAAAGCGUACGUAGGCGGUUUGUUAAGUCGGAUGUGAAAUCCCUGGGCUCAACCUGGGACCUGCAUUCGAUACUGGCAGACUUGAAUACGGUAGAGGGGGGUGGAAUUCCAGGUGUAGCGGUGAAAUGCGUAGAGAUCUGGAGGAACACCAGUGGCGAAGGCGGCCCCCUGGACCGAUAUUGACGCUGAGGUACGAAAGCGUGGGGAGCAAAC